RNAcentral lists this ribosomal RNA (1006 nucleotides) under uncultured bacterium. RNAcentral describes it as "bacterial SSU rRNA". It matches the Rfam family "Bacterial small subunit ribosomal RNA", at positions 8 to 1011 of the family's 1533-position model. The record is from RNAcentral.
AGAGUUUGAUCCUGGCUCAGGACGAACGCUGGCGGCGCGCCUAACACAUGCAAGUCGAACGGGACUAUUUUGGGAGAAGUUUUCGGAUGGAUCUCGGGAUAGUUUAGUGGCGGACGGGUGAGUAACACGUGAGCAACCUACCUUCGAGAGGGGAAUAACGGCUGGAAACGGUCGCUAAUACCGCAUAACAUACUGGAGGGACAUCCCUUUGGUAUCAAAGAUUUUAUCGCUCGGAGAUGGGCUCGCGUCCGAUUAGGUAGUUGGUGAGGUAACGGCUCACCAAGCCGACGAUCGGUAGCCGGACUGAGAGGUCGAACGGCCACAUUGGGACUGAGACACGGCCCAGACUCCUACGGGAGGCAGCAGUGGGGGAUAUUGCACAAUGGGGGAAACCCUGAUGCAGCGACGCCGCGUGUGGGAAGACGAUCCUCUGGAUUGUAAACCACUGUCCCCAGGGACGAAGAUGACGGUACCUGGGGAGGAAGCUCCGGCUAACUACGUGCCAGCAGCCGCGGUAAUACGUAGGGAGCGAGCGUUGUCCGGAAUUACUGGGUGUAAAGGGAGCGUAGGCGGGACUGCAAGUUGGGUGUCAAAUCUACCGGCUCAACCGGUAGCCGCACUCAAAACUGCAGUUCUUGAGUGAAGUAGAGGCAGGCGGAAUUCCUAGUGUAGCGGUGAAAUGCGUAGAUAUUAGGAGGAACACCAGUGGCGAAGGCGGCCUGCUGGGCUUUUACUGACGCUGAGGCUCGAAAGUGUGGGGAGCAAACAGGAUUAGAUACCCUAGUAGUCCACACCGUAAACGAUGAUCACUAGGGUGUGGGGGGUCUGACCCCUUCCGUGCCGGAGUUAACACAAUAAGUGAUCCACCUGGGGAGUACGGCCGCAAGGUUGAAACUCAAAGGAAUUGACGGGGGCCCGCACAAGCAGUGGAGUAUGUGGUUUAAUUCGAAGCAACGCGAAGAACCUUACCAGGUCUUGACAUCGUGCGCAUAGCCUAGAGAUAGGU